This 497-nucleotide ribosomal RNA is filed under the name uncultured bacterium. Its description in RNAcentral is "partial 16S ribosomal RNA". It matches the Rfam family "Bacterial small subunit ribosomal RNA", at positions 28 to 507 of the family's 1533-position model. The record is from RNAcentral.
GAUGAACGCUGGCGGCGUGCCUAAUACAUGCAAGUCGAGCGAACGGACGAGAAGCUUGCUUCUCUGAUGUUAGCGGCGGACGGGUGAGUAACACGUGGAUAACCUACCUAUAAGACUGGGAUAACUUCGGGAAACCGGAGCUAAUACCGGAUGAUAUUUUGAACCGCAUGGUUCAAAAGUGAAAGACGGUCUUGCUGUCACUUAUAGAUGGAUCCGCGCUGCAUUAGCUAGUUGGUAAGGUAACGGCUUACCAAGGCAACGAUGCAUAGCCGACCUGAGAGGGUGAUCGGCCACACUGGAACUGAGCCACGGUCCAGACUCCUACGGGAGGCAGCAGUAGGGAAUCGUCCGCAAUGGGCGAAAGCCUGACGGAGCAACGCCGCGUGAGUGAUGAAGGUCUUCGGAUCGUAAAACUCUGUUAUUAGGGAAGAACAUAUGUGUAAGUAACUGUGCACAUCUUGACGGUACCUAAUCAGAAAGCCACGGCUAACUACGUG